RNAcentral lists this long non-coding RNA (932 nucleotides) under Strigops habroptila (Kakapo). RNAcentral's name for it is "lncRNA (ENSSHBG00005014979.1)". Lineage: Eukaryota; Metazoa; Chordata; Aves; Psittaciformes; Psittacidae. The record is from RNAcentral.
GUGUCUCCAUGUCCGUGUGGCUGUUCUCCUGAUGGGACAGGACAGUGUGUUCCCUGGCUGAUGGUGUGUUCCCACACCUCCUGCCCUUUGUCCCGGCUCAGCUCUGGCCUGGGUGCAACAGGGGAUGAAGCCAGCACCAGAGAGAAGGGUGGAGGCACCGAGAGCAGCAGGUGAAGACCAGCCAGCCACCAGCUGAACCAGGGAAGCCCAGGUUUGCAAAUCCAGAGCCACUUGUGCUGGUGCAGCUCUGCUGCUGCUUUUUAUUCUCUUUUGUUUCCCCAGGCUAAACUGUGUUUUUCAACUUCCAUCACUAUGAAUGAAGACAUUCUGUUACAUUCGUUAGGACCUGAAUGGUUGGGUUUAAGCUGCUGUUACUGGGUGUCCUCAGACUUCUCUGCAUACAGAGACGUGACAGUCCCAUCCUUCCACUGCACCACGACUUCUCCUGAUUUCUGAUCCUGGGGCACCGGCUCCUCCUUCUGUGGUUCACUGGGGCUGUGCUCCUGCACAGAGACCAGGGCUUGCUUGGUUUCCAGCUCCGCCUGCUGCGUCUUCUGCACUGCUGCGCUGUACAUGUGUCUCUUCCUUUUCCUGCAGGGAAGGGACAGAAAGGAAACAUGGAGUGAAGCAGCAAGCCCAGCCCACAUCUGGGCAGCAGGAAUGUCCGUUCGUCUCCGCUAACUCACCAGAAACACGCUGUUCCAGCAGAGAGGAAGCUACAUUUCUUCUUUAAGCCCUGCUGCCUGAAGAUGUCUUCUCCAAGCAGCCGUCAGUGCCUCACCACGGUGACAAGGUUGCCUUUCCUUCUACUCUUGGUACACUACGAGCUGUGAUUCAUUCUGCUCCUGAGUCAUGUCUGAAGGCCAGUCCAACAGGUGAGGUUCGCUCCAGCCCCUGGAAAAAACACACCUCUUUAGUGGGUCCAUUUACAU